Molecule: long non-coding RNA, 541 nt
Organism: Folsomia candida
Lineage: Eukaryota; Metazoa; Arthropoda; Collembola; Entomobryomorpha; Isotomidae
Exons: 3
Source: RefSeq, a predicted model, not a curated record
AAAAAUUAACUGCAGUCGUCUUCCUCCCUUCAAACGAAAAACAUGUAGAUAUUGCGUAGAAACAGGUCAACACGAAAAUCUAGCCGAAACCAAUAAAAAUAUUGUCCCUGUUAAAAAGGAUUUGCACCAAGUCACCAUAACCAUGAAGAUGACCUUGUUUCUUAUGGUAAUGCUUGCUCUCAGCAUUACAGUUCACUGUCAAAAUGCAGGUUUCUGCUCGACUAUGCAAAACACGUGCCAAGAAGAUAACGGGCGAUUUAUCGAGUGCCGGCAAACUCCAGGUCGGGAUGUUGCAGUUUGUCAAAACCCCUCAGGCACCAGGUUCCAAGAUGAGUGCGGUACUUUCAGCGCCUGCGAAAUUAGCGAGACUUCUUCCGGCCGUACGAUUUGUUCUUGCCGAUAUUAACGAACAAAAUCGACGAAAACGAAAAUUAUUUAAUUAAAAUUCAAUAAAUAAAUGAAUAAUUUAUUUCGAAUUUUGAAACUAAAUACGAAUGUUUAUUCAUUGUGAAUUAAUCAAGAUUAAAAGUGAACUGUUUUA